ACCUUUUCUCACAAGAAGAAAUAUAUAUAUAUAUAUAUAUAUAUUUAUAAUAUGUAUAUAUAUUCAUAUACAUAUGAAUAUAUGAAGAAGAUUCUCCAUACUCUCAACCCUGACAAAGAACAUCAUUGUCAGAGUCAGUUAUCGGUGUGAGGGAUGAGGUUUCAGCUUCAGGCCAGGCCCAGCUGGGUUGAACUCAGACAUCCAGAGUUCAUCCUUUUACAUCUUGAAACCUGUCACAUCUUGAUAAACCAACAAAGGAGGAUUUAUAGUGCGAGGUAGACGAGAGAGGGCUUGGGAUAUGAGCCAGAAUCAGGGAGCUCUUAAGGAGCAGCAAGAACAAGAAGAGUUCAUUUUGCGAUGAUUUUAGAGAGAAGUGGGAAGUGAGAAUCUUAGUGAUUGGGGCAUCUUCAAUCCUAAAUCCUCCCUCCCUCCCAUUUAUUUUACUAAUAAACCUAUUAGUUUUUACAAUGACUGUUUGGAAGCCUGGUUAGUGCAUUGGCCCAGUGUGGUGAGUCCUAACUGCCUUAUUGCACUAAAAACGAACUGAAGCAUCAUCCACACACCUCAGUAUUCCCUUAUAUUUCAGUACUGUAAUACAGAAAUUAUAGAGAGAAGCAUAAGAUGGAAAGUUUAAGAAACUGGCAUUGACACAUGGGAAAGAAUUUUGGAGACAGUAUUCUAGAAGCCAGGGGGUAGAGAAGGAAGGGUCUACUGCUAGACAACUAUCACUUGGUCCUUGGUCUUGGUCUUGGACUACCACUUUGUUCCUGGUCCUGCCCAAGCAGAGGGAAGAGCUGCUUCGAGGAGCUUUUCCUAUCUCAAGUCCUUGGAGAACAAAGGACAACCCUUCAAUCCUUCCCUGUGGUUCCUGAUCAGCUGGAGAGCAGCGUGGAGCAAAUCUGGUUAUCUCUGCUCUCUAAACCAGAAUACUCAGAGACCACAGCUGGGUCAAUCCCCUAGGUGGAAACCAACAUCUAUCCACCUUUGUCUCAUCACUAACCUGUGUUUUCAGUACCAAGACAGAAAGACUCGUUUGAGGACUGGAAUCAAACAAUCAUUCAAUCAAUAAACAUUUGAGUGCCAACUAUGCUUCAAAAAUUUUUCCAGAGAACACAAAUGAAAGUACAAUAAAUGGAACAAUUCCUGUGUGCUAGGUAUGUAC
RNAcentral lists this long non-coding RNA (1162 nucleotides) under Monodelphis domestica (gray short-tailed opossum). RNAcentral describes it as "lncRNA (ENSMODG00000030146.2)". The record is from RNAcentral. Lineage: Eukaryota; Metazoa; Chordata; Mammalia; Didelphimorphia; Didelphidae.